Long non-coding RNA from Dendronephthya gigantea, 983 nucleotides. RefSeq lists it as uncharacterized. The record is from RefSeq and is a predicted model, not a curated record. Lineage: Eukaryota; Metazoa; Cnidaria; Anthozoa; Malacalcyonacea; Nephtheidae. The transcript is spliced from 3 exons.
AUUUAGUAGCCUUAGAAUGAGGGGAAGUAGAAUUGUUUAAACGUUGAUUCAAUGUUGUUUUAUCAGAGUCUGAUGUUAAUAUUUUGUGUUUCAGAUUGUUUUUGCCAAUGUUUUGAUCUGAGGUUUAAAGAACCACUUUUACAAUAUUGGAGAUAUGUAGUGGAAUAAAUGCCUGGAAAGACAAUUAUUGUCUGACAAUAUAAACUAUAAAUUGAAACCGGAAUGCAAUGAUAAGAAAGGGAAAUAUGGAAUAAAUGCCUGGAAAUACAAUAUAAACUAUAAUUUUAAACUGGAAUGCAAUGAUAAGAAAGGGAAAUAAACUAUUGCUAAGUCUAAAGAACCACUGAAGCUGAAGAAUUGAGAUACAACAAUCUUUGACUGACUUUAGGUGUAAGACGUUCGCCCAGCUAUUGUAGACCGCAUGGAAUCGAUUCAAGUCCUUUAAAAAUUUGUGAAUCAAGAUGAGAAUGAACUUAGUGAAUCUAUUGGUGGCGAUCGAAGGUGGACAGCAAGAUCGAAGCUCAGCAAGAUUGAAGAUUGUUCGAAGAAGAAGGAGUUCGCCGUUGACUAAAAGGUUUAUCUGAACAGCUAGUUGUCAAGAUGAAUGCGAAGACUCGCCCGGCCAAAUUCAAAAUGGCGAUGCCAAAGAAAACCAUCCACCUGGACCGUUCGCAGACCUUUCUGGGCAAGAUUGUUGUGCUGUCUGGUCAAAGUUAAGUAUUUUACUUUGAUGUUUGUGUGCCUUCGGCUAAUUGUUGGCCAGAAAUGACAAAAAGCCAUAUACAAUAUGAAAUAUUCUGCGUACAAGGUUAUCUAAAAUUUCGAACUUAAUUCUGCCUGCAAUGAUGAUAAUUUUUUACUGAAAAUUUAUGUCAUGAGCAACUUCCGCACCUAUAGACUGAAGCAGAACUGAACAUUUUGUCAUUAACGUUUAUCUCAACAGCCAGUUAUCAAGACGAACGUCAAGAGAACAGUUGAAAUAG